UGCACAGAACCCCUCGUGAGUUU
Molecule: non-coding RNA, 23 nt
Filed under: Cricetulus griseus (Chinese hamster)
Lineage: Eukaryota; Metazoa; Chordata; Mammalia; Rodentia; Cricetidae
Source: RNAcentral